RNAcentral lists this unclassified non-coding RNA (192 nucleotides) under uncultured Guignardia. Its description in RNAcentral is "sequence contains ITS1". Lineage: Eukaryota; Fungi; Ascomycota; Dothideomycetes; Botryosphaeriales; Botryosphaeriaceae. The record is from RNAcentral.
CCGAGUUUACAACUCCCAAACCCCUGUGAACUUAUACCUUUACUGUUGCUUCGGCGGGUUAUUGCCCCGGGGAAACAGGCGGCCGUCAGGUCCCUGCCCACCCGGAAACAGGCGCCCGCCGGGGGACUCAAACUCUUCUGUAUUUUUUAUUUUACUGUUAUACUGUCUGAGUAAAAAACUAUAAAUGAAUCA